Long non-coding RNA from Betta splendens (Siamese fighting fish), 881 nucleotides. RefSeq lists it as uncharacterized. The record is from RefSeq and is a predicted model, not a curated record. The transcript has 4 exons. NCBI's taxonomy places the organism in Eukaryota, Metazoa, Chordata, Actinopteri, Anabantiformes, Osphronemidae.
AUAUGCCGAAGCACAGCUACGUGGGGGAGGUGGGUUGGGGCUGGAGGUACAACCACAUGCUGAACGGUGGGACGCUGCUCAGCAAUGUGCAAAUUAAGAAAACGGAGAUCCGGGCAGCGUUGGAGGACAGAGUCACUCACAGACUCCUGUUACCUGUGUGUGCCGUGUCUCGAGCAUGACUGAGCUCAGGAACCUGCACCUGGAGCCGAGGAGGAGGAAUCAGCCAGAGAGACACGGAUGAGGUCACAUAAGCACCUACCGGCAUAAACAAAACCUCUGGGCUUGGAUUUCACUGAAUGUAACGUCACGUACAGCAAAGAAAAGGAAUCAGAGGCAAUGCAACUGUGUUCAUUGUAAUUUCUCACUAUGAUUAGAGUGAGUUUGAAAAUGAGUCAUGUCUAAAUUGAGCAAAAUUCCGAGUGCAGAAAUGUAAGAAAUGAAGAUGAAUCAUGUUCGAUCACACUAUUAUUGAAACACCAAAAAAAGAAACAGGUUUUCAUGCUUGUCUGUAAACUCUAUCUUUGCCAUUCUUUCUUGGUUUUCAUACUUUUAAUAACAGAAUUAAUCCCAGUAGGAAAAGCAGCCGACAGUAGCAGUCAUGACCUUUGUUGCAUUAGAGUCUUAGUGACAUGAAGAAUGAUGUGGUGGCUGAUUUUCUGUUGCUUUUCAUUUUUCCAUUUGUCACUCGUGUGUUUCUCCAUUUAUCAUCCAUUCUUUCUCUUUACUGCCGUGUAAUGAGCAUUCAAAAUUCAUGGGACCAAGACAUUUAUACUAGAUGCAGAGACGGGCCAUAUCCAACUAUGCAACUGUUUCUGUGUUAUUCCUGUAAUUGUAAUUGUGUAACAAAAGCAAAUGGCACUAAAUAAAACUGAAAUAAAAUA